Molecule: long non-coding RNA, 300 nt
Filed under: Trifolium pratense (red clover)
Lineage: Eukaryota; Viridiplantae; Streptophyta; Magnoliopsida; Fabales; Fabaceae
Description: long non-coding RNA (TPRA_LNC010673)
Source: RNAcentral
AGUUUCAAAUUUAUUAGUUCCUAUAUCUAUUCUUGUUUCUUUUACAUGACUAGUUCCUUCAUGGUGAACUUGUAAAGUGUCCCAAACCUUUUUAGCAGUAUCACAUUCAUCUACUCUUUCACUUUCUUCCAUGCUUAGAGCACAGGAUAGAAAUAAAUGAGCUUUAGAGUUUAGGAGUACCUUUUGUUGUUCUACAGUUGUCCAUGCAUCUUCAGGUUUGUCUGAAAUGACUCCCUCAGCAGAAGUUACAGUAGGAACAUAAUCUCCUUCUGUGACUAUGCGCCACAUUCCUACUUCNNN